GCCGGGCAUGGUGGUGCAUGCCUGUAAUCCCAGCUACUCAGGAGGCUGAGGCAGGAGAAUCGCUUGAACCCAGGAGGUGGAGGCUGCUUGAACCCAGGAGGCAGAGGCUGCAGUGAGCCGAGAUUGUGCCACUGUACUCCAGCCUGGGUGACAGAGCCAGAUUCUGUCUCAA
Pongo abelii (Sumatran orangutan) is the source of this 172-nucleotide unclassified non-coding RNA. It matches the Rfam family "Metazoan signal recognition particle RNA". From Rfam's summary of the family: The signal recognition particle (SRP) is a universally conserved ribonucleoprotein. It is involved in the co-translational targeting of proteins to membranes. The record is from Ensembl. NCBI's taxonomy places the organism in Eukaryota, Metazoa, Chordata, Mammalia, Primates, Hominidae.